UACAGAGGGUGCAAGCGUUGUUCGGAUUUACUGGGCGUAAAGCGCGUGUAGGCGGCUUGGCAAGUCGGAUGUGAAAGCCCACGGCUCAACCGUGGAAGCGCAUCCGAAACUGCUUCGCUCGAGUCUCGGAGAGGAAGGUGGAAUGCUUGGUGUAGAGGUGAAAUUCGUAGAUAUCAAGCAGAACACCUGCGGCGAAGGCGGCCUUCUGGACGAUGACUGACGCUGAGACGCGAAAGCGUGGGGAGCAAACAGG
This 253-nucleotide ribosomal RNA is filed under the name uncultured bacterium. RNAcentral describes it as "partial 16S ribosomal RNA". It matches the Rfam family "Bacterial small subunit ribosomal RNA", at positions 524 to 776 of the family's 1533-position model. The record is from RNAcentral.